GGGAAGGUGGCCGAGCGGUCGAAGGCGCGCCCCUGCUAAGGGCGUAUGGGCUGAAAUCCAUCGAGGGUUCAAAUCCCUCCCUUCCCG
Molecule: transfer RNA, 87 nt
Filed under: Fibrobacter sp.
Lineage: Bacteria; Pseudomonadati; Fibrobacterota; Fibrobacteria; Fibrobacterales; Fibrobacteraceae
Description: tRNA-Ser
Rfam family: tRNA
About the family: Transfer RNA (tRNA) molecules are approximately 80 nucleotides in length. Their secondary structure includes four short double-helical elements and three loops (D, anti-codon, and T loops). Further hydrogen bonds mediate the characteristic L-shaped molecular structure. tRNAs have two regions of fundamental functional importance: the anti-codon, which is responsible for specific mRNA codon recognition, and the 3' end, to which the tRNAs corresponding amino acid is attached (by aminoacyl-tRNA synthetases). tRNAs cope with the degeneracy of the genetic code in two manners: having more than one tRNA (with a specific anti-codon) for a particular amino acid; and 'wobble' base-pairing, i.e. permitting non-standard base-pairing at the 3rd anti-codon position.
Source: RNAcentral